AGAUUAAACAUAAGAGUUUGAUCCUGGCUCAGAUUGAACGCUGGCGGCAUGCUUUACACAUGCAAGUCGAACGGCAGCACGGAGAGCUUGCUCUCUGGUGGCGAGUGGCGAACGGGUGAGUAAUGCAUCGGAACGUACCGAGUAAUGGGGGAUAACUGUCCGAAAGGAUGGCUAAUACCGCAUACGCCCUGAGGGGGAAAGCGGGGGAUCUAAGGACCUCGCGUUAUUUGAGCGGCCGAUGUUGGAUUAGCUAGUUGGUGGGGUAAAGGCCUACCAAGGCGACGAUCCAUAGCGGGUCUGAGAGGAUGAUCCGCCACAUUGGGACUGAGACACGGCCCAAACUCCUACGGGAGGCAGCAGUGGGGAAUUUUGGACAAUGGGGGGAACCCUGAUCCAGCCAUGCCGCGUGUCUGAAGAAGGCCUUCGGGUUGUAAAGGACUUUUGUUAGGGAAGAAAAGCUGGGUGCUAAUACCAUCUAGUGCUGACGGUACCUAAAGAAUAAGCACCGGCUAACUACGUGCCAGCAGCCGCGGUAAUACGUAGGGUGCGAGCGUUAAUCGGAAUUACUGGGCGUAAAGCGAGCGCAGACGGUUAAAUAAGUCAGAUGUGAAAUCCCCGAGCUCAACUUGGGACGUGCAUUUGAAACUGUAUGACUAGAGUGUGUCAGAGGGAGGUAGAAUUCCACGUGUAGCAGUGAAAUGCGUAGAGAUGUGGAGGAAUACCGAUGGCGAAGGC
Molecule: ribosomal RNA, 735 nt
Filed under: Snodgrassella alvi
Lineage: Bacteria; Pseudomonadati; Pseudomonadota; Betaproteobacteria; Neisseriales; Neisseriaceae
Description: bacterial SSU rRNA
Rfam family: Bacterial small subunit ribosomal RNA
Source: RNAcentral